RNAcentral lists this ribosomal RNA (164 nucleotides) under Quercus macranthera. Its description in RNAcentral is "5.8S ribosomal RNA". It matches the Rfam family "5.8S ribosomal RNA". Rfam says of the family: 5.8S ribosomal RNA (5.8S rRNA) is a component of the large subunit of the eukaryotic ribosome. It is transcribed by RNA polymerase I as part of the 45S precursor that also contains 18S and 28S rRNA. The record is from RNAcentral. Lineage: Eukaryota; Viridiplantae; Streptophyta; Magnoliopsida; Fagales; Fagaceae.
AAAACGACUCUCGGCAAUGGAUAUCUAGGCUCUCGCAUCGAUGAAGAACGUAGCGAAAUGCAAUACUUGGUGUGAAUUGCAGAAUCCCGCGAAUCAUCGAGUUUUUGAACGCAAGUUGUGCCCGAAGCCAUUCGGCCGAGGGCACGUUUGCCUGGGUGUCACGC